CAGGGAAACUUCUGCUAAUCCCGGAUGAGCCGAAAGGAAAAUGAUUUUUCGCCGGGAGAUGAGCUCGCGUCUGAUUAGCUAGUUGGUGAGGUAAAGGCUCACCAAGGCAACAAUCAGUAGGUGGUCUGAGAGGAUGAUCAGCCACUGUGGGACUGAGACACGGCCCAGACUCCUCCGGGAGGCAGCAGUGGGGAAUUUUCCGCAAUGGGCGCAAGCCUGACGGAGAAAGACCGCGUGGGGGAGGAAGGCUCUUGGGUUGUAAACCCCUUUUCUCAAGGAAAAACACAAUGACGGUACUUGAGGAAUAACCCUCGGCUAACUCCGUGCCAGCACCCGCGGUUAUACGGAGGAGGCGAGCGUUAUCCGGAAUGAUUGGGCGUAAAGCGCCCGUAGGUGGCUGUUCAAGUCUGCUGUCAAAGACAGUAGCUCAACUACU
This 436-nucleotide ribosomal RNA is filed under the name Spirulina sp. CCC 480. RNAcentral describes it as "bacterial SSU rRNA". It matches the Rfam family "Bacterial small subunit ribosomal RNA", at positions 149 to 617 of the family's 1533-position model. Lineage: Bacteria; Bacillati; Cyanobacteriota; Cyanophyceae; Spirulinales; Spirulinaceae. The record is from RNAcentral.